Impatiens glandulifera is the source of this 726-nucleotide long non-coding RNA. RefSeq lists it as uncharacterized. The record is from RefSeq and is a predicted model, not a curated record. Lineage: Eukaryota; Viridiplantae; Streptophyta; Magnoliopsida; Ericales; Balsaminaceae. The transcript is spliced from 4 exons.
UCAAAUAAACAUAAAACCUUUCUAAAAAUCUGUGAGAAUUAGAGAGAGAGAGUAUUCUAACAGUCCAUUGACGAACCAUCCUCUCUCUCCCAACCUCUUCAUCUCCCAUUGACGAACCUGCACAGCGGAGAAGACAAAUGUCAAAUCUAGGUGAGCGACCUCGUACGGGCAUUGAUAAGGAUCGUCUUAUUUACUCCUAAUGUUUCACAAAAGGAAGCGGGAAUCUAUCUAAAAGGUGUUGACAAAUUAAUGUGCGAUUCAAGCUCAAUUUGUUCCAAAUUCAGAUGGAAAGUCAAUUUAACUUAUCCAGGUGAUAAAAGUUUAUAGUCUUGUUAUGCUUUAGAAAUUUGAUAGUGGUGUCAUGGUGAUCCAGAAUAAGUCCCACAGUGAUGAGGAGGUAUUUAAACCAAAACCAACAAAUUGCAAGAGUAUUCAUGACUCAUUAUAAUCUCUUCAAAGGUUAAUCAAUAUAGAUCUCCAAAGAACCUGAAUGAGUGUCUAAUUCUUUCUACUUGCAGUAAUUUGACAAAUCUUGAAAACGACAAGGAAUUAAUUUCAUUUGCAAAGAAAUUUUUAUGACUAAGGUUUUAUUAACUUUAAAAUAAUACCAUUUUUCAGGGGAAUUUGAAUUUCACACAACCUCGCAUAUUAUUCCAAGUGCUGUUAAUCAUAAUGAAUCUGAAAAUAUUGUGAGUUAAGAUUAUAUUCUUUAUGUAUUUUAUUCAA